RNAcentral lists this unclassified non-coding RNA (379 nucleotides) under uncultured Acidobacteriota bacterium. RNAcentral's name for it is "uncultured Acidobacteria bacterium contains 16S-23S intergenic spacer region". The record is from RNAcentral. Lineage: Bacteria; Pseudomonadati; Acidobacteriota.
UCGCGGCUUAUCACCGGCAGUCCCCUUAGAGUGCCCAACUGAAUGAUGGCAACUAAGGGCGAGGGUUGCGCUCGUUGCGGGACUUAACCCAACAUCUCACGACACGAGCUGACGACAGCCAUGCAGCACCUCUACCGAUGUCCCUUGCGGGAACACCCAUCUCUGGAUGCGUCCUGUGCAUGUCAAACCCAGGUAAGGUUCUUCGCGUUGCAUCGAAUUAAUCCACAUGCUCCGCCGCUUGUGCGGGCCCCCGUCAAUUCCUUUGAGUUUCAGUCUUGCGACCGUACUCCCCAGGCGGAAUGCUUAAAGCGUUAGCGACGGCACCCGGGGACUUUAUAACCCCAGACACCAAGCAUUCAUCGUUUAAGGCCAGGACUAC